Gadus morhua (Atlantic cod) is the source of this 426-nucleotide long non-coding RNA. RefSeq lists it as uncharacterized. The record is from RefSeq and is a predicted model, not a curated record. NCBI's taxonomy places the organism in Eukaryota, Metazoa, Chordata, Actinopteri, Gadiformes, Gadidae. The transcript is spliced from 2 exons.
UGGUUUUUGUAUCUGCCGUAUCCUCCGAUGGAACUUUGCCCUAUCGCAAGUGAGUCGCUCCAGUGCUUUUAACCACAGGGGGAACAGAGUUAUGAUGUUAGACCAACCAAGCGUGCACGGUAAUGUCUGCUCCACCAUCACAAUAUUUUGACUUCCCCUCAUCGUUCAUAUGCGCAGCGACACUGUCACUGUGCCCCUCUGGCGGGCCCAGUCAUCACAAAGCACUGCUGUGCACUGUCCCAGAGAAACCAUCGCAGUGGAACCUCGAGAGAUAAUACUCCCAAAGAACGAUGAAAUCACAUCAAAUGCCCAAAAAGCCUUCCACCUACUUGGACAAACAACAAUAUUGUUUGUCCACAUGAAUACAGAAAAAAAUGUUUUUUAUACUAUUUCAUCAUGAUUCACAAAUAAAACAACUUUUUCAGA